Molecule: long non-coding RNA, 651 nt
Organism: Daphnia pulex (common water flea)
Lineage: Eukaryota; Metazoa; Arthropoda; Branchiopoda; Diplostraca; Daphniidae
Exons: 2
Source: RefSeq, a predicted model, not a curated record
CCUGCCCAACAUCACUUAUUCUGCGGAGCUCCACUGCCAGCCACAUUGAGUGAACUCAUUCUGUCUGGUUCACUAAAAUACUAUUAUAAGCUCUUUUCGCCGCUGCCAAUUCUGGGCUCUUUCGAUCUCCGUCUUUAUGACGAUUGGCUCUGCAGAUUGCUUUUAAUACAGUCUUAGCAUUUUGCGCUAUUUCCUAGCCGGAUGCUGUAUAACUAAAUCCGUCUUUACGUUCCGACUUUCAGAAGUACUCAAGACAAAGCUGUACAUGCCAAAAAAACGCGAAACCGUUUUUGGUAUCUGCAAGAUCCCUCAGUUCUCAUUUGAUCCAACUUUCUCAUUACUUUUGUCAACGGUUUAUGCUCUCGAUCAAUUACAUAGCUGCGCCGGCUGAUAUCAAAGAUAUGUACCGCUGUAAUGAAAACACACUGAUCAGGAUAAAACAGUUUUAUUUCUGCUUGCACCCGUAAAAACCCUCAGUUGAUUUUCUUUAACAGAAAAAUGAUAACAUACUGCCUCUUCGAGCACACAUAAGUCUUUGCAGAGUGGAGGGUUAUUUUUACUUCACUUCAAAGUUGUUGAUAAAUCCCCGUAGCUACUUUACUUGUCUUUCUUCUGUGUUAAGACAGCUUCGUAUUUGGAUUUUGAAGAGAA